GACAGAGGGUGCAAACGUUGCUCGGAUUUACUGGGCGUAAAGCGCGUGUAGGCGGGAAGAUAAGUCGGGUGUGAAAUCCCUGGGCUCAACCUAGGAACUGCAUCCGAAACUGUUUUUCUAGAGUGGUGGAGAGGAGAGCGGAAUUCCCGGUGUAGAGGUGAAAUUCGUAGAUAUCGGGAGGAACAUCGGUGGCGAAGGCGGCUCUCUGGACACUUACUGACGCUGAGACGCGAAAGCGUGGGGAGCAAACAGG
RNAcentral lists this ribosomal RNA (253 nucleotides) under uncultured bacterium. RNAcentral describes it as "partial 16S ribosomal RNA". It matches the Rfam family "Bacterial small subunit ribosomal RNA", at positions 524 to 776 of the family's 1533-position model. The record is from RNAcentral.